GCUCUCGCAUCGAUGAAGAACGCAGCGAAAUGCGAUAAGUAAUGUGAAUUGCAGAAUUCAGUGAAUCAUCGAAUCUUUGAACGCACCUUGCGCUCCUUGGUAUUCCGAGGAGCAUGCCUGUUUGAGUGUCAUGAAAUCUUCAACUUGCAAGCUCU
RNAcentral lists this ribosomal RNA (155 nucleotides) under Ganoderma sp. 1 TRK-2010. RNAcentral describes it as "5.8S ribosomal RNA". The stretch from base 1 to 131 matches the Rfam family "5.8S ribosomal RNA", at positions 24 to 154 of the family's 154-position model. Rfam says of the family: 5.8S ribosomal RNA (5.8S rRNA) is a component of the large subunit of the eukaryotic ribosome. It is transcribed by RNA polymerase I as part of the 45S precursor that also contains 18S and 28S rRNA. Functionally, it is thought that 5.8S rRNA may be involved in ribosome translocation. The record is from RNAcentral. Lineage: Eukaryota; Fungi; Basidiomycota; Agaricomycetes; Polyporales; Polyporaceae.